Molecule: ribosomal RNA, 553 nt
Filed under: uncultured bacterium
Lineage: Bacteria
Description: partial 16S ribosomal RNA
Rfam family: Bacterial small subunit ribosomal RNA
Source: RNAcentral
UGGGGAAUUUUGGACAAUGGGCGAAAGCCUGAUCCAGCAAUGCCGCGUGUGUGAAGAAGGCCUUCGGGUUGUAAAGCACUUUUGUCCGGAAAGAAAACGCCGUGGUUAAUACCCGUGGCGGAUGACGGUACCGGAAGAAUAAGCACCGGCUAACUACGUGCCAGCAGCCGCGGUAAUACGUAGGGUGCAAGCGUUAAUCGGAAUUACUGGGCGUAAAGCGUGCGCAGGCGGUCCGCUAAGGCAGAUGUGAAAUCCCCGGGCUUAACCUGGGAACUGCAUUUGUGACUGGCGGGCUAGAGUAUGGCAGAGGGGGGUAGAAUUCCACGUGUAGCAGUGAAAUGCGUAGAGAUGUGGAGGAAUACCGAUGGCGAAGGCAGCCCCCUGGGCCAAUACUGACGCUCAGUGCACCGAAAGCGUGGGGAGCAAACAGGAUUAGAUACCCUGGUAGUCCACGCCCUGAAACGAUGUCAACUAGUUGUCCGGGUCUUCAUCGACUUGGUAACGUAGCUAACGCGUGAAGUUGACCGCCUUGGGGGAGUACGGUCGCAAGAUU